CAAAAAGGCAAAGUUAGGUAGCUCUGAAAAACAGCUGUGGGACUUCCUUAGAGGCACAGCUCCCUCCUGUGGACAAUGAGCUGCACGGAAUCCAGAAGCUCCUUCCAAAGACUUUGCUAGAAGAC
Lonchura striata (white-rumped munia) is the source of this 125-nucleotide non-coding RNA. The record is from RefSeq and is a predicted model, not a curated record. Lineage: Eukaryota; Metazoa; Chordata; Aves; Passeriformes; Estrildidae.